This is an RNA transcript of Lycium ferocissimum, 2726 nucleotides long. RefSeq lists it as uncharacterized. NCBI's taxonomy places the organism in Eukaryota, Viridiplantae, Streptophyta, Magnoliopsida, Solanales, Solanaceae. The record is from RefSeq and is a predicted model, not a curated record. The transcript has 19 exons.
CCCUUUCCUCUACCCCGUCAAAACUCAAAAUAAGAACUCAGCCGACUUUAAAAGCCUUUGUAAUUUCUAACAAACAAUUUUUUUGACCUCUGCUGCCCUACCAGACACCACUGCUGCGCAGCCACCACCGGCAUUACUUUGUCUGCCAAUUAAAUCACUAUGGCGUACCAAGGGGGGAACUUGAAGUCCACUGCCAUAAAUGGAGUGAAGAUGUAUACUGUCGCUGGCCAACAUCGUUCUGUGGCUACAUGGAUUCCUCCUAAGAAGCAAAGAGCCCUUCGUAAAGAUCCAGGUUAUAUGACAAGAGUGGAUCUGAUUCAAGAUUUGAGAUUUGAAACUGCAACAACAAGAAUUAAAGUGACCCCUGACGGGGAGUAUCUCAUCGCCUCAGGUAUCUACCCACCACAAGUUAAAGUGUAUGAGCUGCGGGAGCUGUCAUUGAAGUUUGAAAGGCAUUUGGUGUCAGAGAUUGUUAACUUUCAAGUCUUGGGUGAUGACUACUCAAAAAUAGCAUUUCUUUGUGCUGAUCGUUCUGUUUGCCUCCAUGCAAAAUAUGGAAGUCACUACAAAUUGCGGAUUCCAAGGAUGGGAAGGGAUAUUGAUUAUGAUUGCUGGUCUUGUGAUUUGCUUUGCGCGGCCUCAUCACCAGAUCUCUACAGAAUAAAUUUGGAGCAGGGACGCUUCCUUUCCUCACUGAGCACACGAUCUCCAGCACUUAAUGUGGUUUCACGGAGCAAGGUCCAUGGAUUAGUCGCUUGUGGUGGGGAGGAUGGUGCUCUCGAAUGCUUUGACAUGAGAGCAAGAUCUUCAGUUGGCAGGAUAAAUGCUGUUGCGCCUGCUGGGGAUGGGGACCAGGAGGUUACUGCGAUAGAGUUCGAGGGAGACGGAGGUUACCUCAUGGCUGUUGGAAGUAGUGGUGGAAAGGUUCUGAUUUAUGAUUUGCGAUCUUCUCAACCUAUGCGGAUAAAGGAUCAUAUGUAUGGGAGCCCGAUACUGAACAUCAAGUGGCAUAAAACGCUAAACACUGAACGGACAAAGUUAAUAACUGCUGACAGCCACAUUGUUAGGAUUUGGGACCCUGAGACGGGAGAAGGCAUGACAAGCAUUGAACCGACGGGUGGGAGAAUCAAUGAUUUGUGUGCAUUCACUGGCAGUGGAUUGAUGUUGUUGGCUCUUGACUCCAGUCAAAUACCUUCAUAUUUCAUACCUUCUCUGGGACCUGCGCCCAAGUGGUGCUCUUACCUUGAAAACCUGACGGAAGAGCUUGAGGAGCAACCUCAAACAACUAUUUAUGAUGAUUAUAAAUUUUUGACAAAGGAAGAUCUGGAAAAGUUGAAUUUGACCAAUUUGAUUGGAACCAACCUUCUAAGAGCUUAUAUGCAUGGUUACUUCAUCGAUUAUCGGCUGUAUAAAAAGGCACAAGCGUUGUCAAAUCCAUUUGCUUAUGAUGAGUACAUAGAGCAGCGGAAGAAGGAAAAAUUUGAAAAAGAGCGUGACGGUCGUAUCACGAUUAAGAGGAAGCUUCCUAAAGUUAAUCGCACUCUGGCUAAAAGUCUUGAGGAUGAAGAAGCUGACAAUUUGAAGGAGGAUGUUGAUGGCGUUGAUGCGAAGAAGACAUCAAAGAAGAAGAAAGGACUGACCAGUGACAUAAUGAAAGAUGAACGUUUCAAGAGCAUGUUUGAAAUUGGGGACUUCGAAAUUGAUGAAAAUUCUCACGAGUAUCGGGCAUUGCACCCUAUGCCUUCCUUAAAGCAACCAUCUUUAGUGGAGGAACAUUUUGAACCUGUGAUGGGCGGUGAGGAGCCUAGUGAUUCUGAUGCGUCUGAAGAUGAACAAGUAAAUGAAAAAAAUUCUAGAAAGAAGUCAAAAGUUCCGAGAAUGUAUGAAGUCAAGGAUGAGAGGCAUGCAGAUGCAUUCAGGAACCAUGUUUCACUUACAAAGGAAGAUGCUCUUCCACUGGGUGAAAGGGUUGCAGCUUUGUCGAAUGACCGAGCUUCUCGUGAUAUGAACAAUAUCAAGGUGGGGCCCGGAGGUUCAAGAGAAGUUUCCUUUGUUUCCAGAAGCGCAGCGAAGUAUGUGGAAGAUGAAGGCGAGAGGGAAACACGAACUGAAAAGAGAAGAGGGAUCCAGUCCUUGAAACUGAAGCCUGAGAGAUCAGGUUUUCAGGGAUCGGGUUCCCAAGGCCGGGGGAGAGGAAGGGGAAGAGGAAGAGGUCGUGGAAUGGGCAGAGGAAGAGGCAGACGAUAAAUUUUACAUACAGUAUUAACAACAACUUUUGUGUCAAAAGACUAUCAGGAGCAUCAUUAUUUAUUUUUGCAAAUCGUGAUACAUCCAAAGUGCUCUUUCUCCAGAAGAAAUAGCAAAAAGUGCUUAAUCUGGAGGCCGUCGACAAAAGUUUACACUGGAGAAUUAUGGGGUGUAGUGCAUUCAUCGGACAAGGUCUAUUUGAGGAUUUGAUUGGCUGGUGCUAGACAUUGUCUUGGAUCUAUAUGCUUUGUUUGUGUGAUGUUUGCAUCAAAAUUUUGUUUAUAGAUGUAAGAUAAGAGUAUCCUGUAGGAAAUUUUACUGAUACUUCUGCUUAUCUAUGCACUGCUCAAGUGACGUGUGAGGAAAUUUUUUGUAGUUCUGUUCAACUAUGUUCAGGGCCUCUGUUCUUCUCUUCUAGCAUUCUUUUGGUGGCUGAAUAUCUAUUUGAUUAGUCAAUAUAUGGUUUUCUGUAUCCUCAU